Molecule: ribosomal RNA, 552 nt
Filed under: uncultured Sphingobacterium sp.
Lineage: Bacteria; Pseudomonadati; Bacteroidota; Sphingobacteriia; Sphingobacteriales; Sphingobacteriaceae
Description: bacterial SSU rRNA
Rfam family: Bacterial small subunit ribosomal RNA
Source: RNAcentral
UUUGGUAUGGGGCGGAGCCUGAUCAGCCAUGCCGCGUGCAGGAUGACUGCCCUAUGGGUUGUAAACUGCUUUUGUCCAGGAAUAAACCUAAAUACGUGUAUUUAGCUGAAUGUACUGGAAGAAUAAGGAUCGGCUAACUCCGUGCCAGCAGCCGCGGUAAUACGGAGGAUCCGAGCGUUAUCCGGAUUUAUUGGGUUUAAAGGGUGCGUAGGCGGCCUAUUAAGUCAGGGGUGAAAUACGGUGGCUCAACCAUCGCAGUGCCUUUGAUACUGAUGGGCUUGAAUCCAUUUGAAGUGGGCGGAAUAAGACAAGUAGCGGUGAAAUGCAUAGAUAUGUCUUAGAACUCCGAUUGCGAAGGCAGCUCACUAAGCUGGUAUUGACGCUGAUGCACGAAAGCGUGGGGAUCGAACAGGAUUAGAUACCCUGGUAGUCCACGCCCUAAACGAUGAUAACUCGAUGUUGGCGAUAGACAGCCAGCGUCCCAGCGAAAGCGUUAAGUUAUCCACCUGGGGAGUACGCCCGCAAGGGUGAAACUCAAAGAAAUUUGACGGA